AAAGGCAGCUGAUCAGGCCUGGAGUUGUGGCCUUGAUCUCUGGAGCUAUGGCAGCUGUGUUGACACAGGGCAGCCGAGAAUGGUGGGGACAAGGAGCUGCCCAGGCCCUGCGGGACUUCACAAACCACUUGGUGUUGCCUCGUUCAGCACCAGGGAGGUGAUCAGACGUGGGAUAGCACACCACGUCCCCCGAGUGAGUUCCACUUCCUGAAUGAAAGAUGUGCAGCUGCCCUCGUCUGUGCACGCUGGGCGCCGUGCCUGCCCUCCUGCCUUUCCAGCAGCUUCCCCCCUGCAGGUCUGCCUCCUCUCCUGCCUCCAUCAACUUCUCCCUCCGCCACCGCCAGGGAAACAUCCCCGCGUACUCCUACAACUCGUCUCCGAAAAUCACGGUCCCGAAAACACAGAGCACAAACUGGACCUAGAUCCCCUCAGCCCAGUGACCAAGAGCCUUUCCUACCUAACCAGCACUUUUCAAAACUGUCAAGUUCAUCCAAAACACAGAAACCCUGAGAAGCCUAAGGAGACGUGACAACCAGAUGCAAUCUAGUGGCCUGGAUUGGGUCCUGGGACAGAGAAAACCAUCAAAGACAUUAGAAGAACUGAAAGUGCCCUGAGGGACGUCACAAGGACAAGCGGGAGGCAGCAGCAGGGAAGGAGGCCUGAACGCUGACCAACUGGAACUGAGAGCUGACCUCAGGUGGCACGUGCAGCAGAGACCACGCUGUGUGAGGCUCACUUCGGCUCACUUCUGCCCUGCUUGGUUCUGACGGGGCAGCGCUGGUCCUUUUCCAGCAGGUAUGGCCUCCUGGCCGCCAAGCAAGGCCAAUGCUGAGAAGGUGUCAGCCCCGGCCAGGGUUUGCCAACUAAAGGAGAGCGGAGUUUGAGUCAGGUGGAAUUGCAGUGGUUGAGCACGUGGCAGCUCUCUGCCCCUACAGACCUGGCCGUGUGGGGCUGGCCUCCUCUGAAGCCGCCUGUGGUGUGGACAUUAAACAGGAAACCAGUGGAAUUUCACCCAGGAUCCUCACCGCCAGAGAUGAAACAUGGGGCGGCAAUGGCUUGCCUGGGUCUCAGGCCUCACAUUUGGGUGCUCUGGGGAAGCCGAGCUCCCUGAACACGCUUCGUGUGCUCCCCUUUGCUGGCCCACUGGACUUGGAAGCCAGAGGAGCUGGGAGCUCCUGCCUAUCCCUGGCCUUCGGAUGGUUAAGGCCAGCCUAGGGGUUUUGCCUGGGGAUAGCAAUGUGGACCAUGCAAGUCCACCCAGGUUGAUGGGGUCCUGCGGUAGCCCCCUUCCAGGCCUAAGACUUGAACUUGCCAGUGUUCUGAAGGACAAGCUGAGAUGUGUCACUCACAGCACAGCUUCAGAAAAGCACUUGGGGAGCUUUCACUCCAAGAUGGU
This is a long non-coding RNA of Lepus europaeus (European hare), 1396 nucleotides long. RefSeq lists it as uncharacterized. The transcript is spliced from 5 exons. Lineage: Eukaryota; Metazoa; Chordata; Mammalia; Lagomorpha; Leporidae. The record is from RefSeq and is a predicted model, not a curated record.